CGGUGGGGCACGAUUCAGUCCACUGCACACCGUUCUCCUCUCCAGACCUCUCACUGGCAAGUCCUUUCAUCUCAAUUUCAGUUCUGUGAGGCCGUCCUACUAUUGUCUAUCACCCUGUUUGAUUUUUUUGUAGCCUCAUCAUUUAUUCAUUACAGUUUCUUAAGUUCUUUUUUUUAGGGAGCUUGUCAUUGCCUAGAAGAGUGCUGGGCACACAAUAGUGAUACUGAAUAUACAACUAAAAUCAUGUAAUAUAGCACAUGAGAUUCUUAAUGCUAAAAUUAAGACUUUUUAACAUGAAAAAUGCUCUUAAGGGCAGAAAUGAAGCAAAUUUCAGGCAAGAUGGCAGACAAGACUGAAACGGAUUCAUCCAUCAACUGCUACAGACUUAAAAAACAAAAUAUGCCCAAUGCAAAGCUGAGCUCAGGAAAUCCUCAGAUGCUAGAGAUAAAGACAAAAUCCAGUUGCAGAAGUGAGUUCCAGGUGAUGCCAGGAGACCCCAGGAAGUAUCAGAUUAGGUCACAAAACUAGGAAUAAGGUUUUAAUGUCUUCAGAAAAACAGAGCAUUUGGUGAGAGAAGGGAACUAAUCCGAGACUCCCGCAUACAACCAGGACACUUGAAGGGCUGCCUCACCUGUGAAAAAGAAACUGGAAAAAUCUCUUCAAAUCUGUCUGUGGAAACAGAAAGACAGCCUGGUGUUUGACAAAGCUCUCGGUGGGACAAACCUCCUCUGAGAAAUGGAAACCUAGGAAAUCAAAAGCCCAGAAAUUAAGGGAAAGCAUUAGUCUCAGAUAAUGAAAAGGAAACCCUUGGGGCCCGGGCCAAAGCAAAUGUAAAAACAUGAACACUUGCAUAAUCUCGUACAUGGGACUCACAGAAAAUGCAACCCCUAAUAUAGAUGAGCUCGCAAUGAAAAAUUAUCCACCACUGUGGCAAUGCAGUCACCAAAAGGAAGACUCAACAGACCAAUGAGCAUAGACACGAGCUGUGGAGGUAACAACUGGAAACAGAAGAAUAAAAUCUCAAGAUAAAUAAUUUAAAAAUACUUAACAUGGAAAAAUAUUUCACUUAAAAAAUAUAACUUUUAGAAAAAAUAUAGUAUCAUUAACUUAAAAAUUCAGUAGCUAGGUUGAACAAUAAAUUCACCACAAAUGAAAAGAGAAUUAGAGAUCUGGAUCACGGAGCUGGAAGAUGAAUGCAGAGGCAGCACAGGGAGGUAAAGCAAUGGAAAAGAUCGCAGGGAGUCCCAAGACCCGGGAUGCUCCCUCGAGUCACUCACAGGAGCUCCAGAGGAAAGGACAGAUCAUGGGGAAAGGCAAUAUUUGAAGCAACAAUGACUGGGAAUUUUUCAUAAUUAAGAAAGAUGUAAAUAUUCAGAGGGAAAAUGCAGAUCUAGACACUUUUCAGAAACACUAUGAAACUCCAAAGUCAAGGAAAAGAUUAAAAGCAACUAGAAACAAAAGACAGUUUACAAUAAAAGAUCCAAAUUAGAUGGAAAUUACAUGUCUCAUUAAUAAAAUAGAGGUCAGAGAAAAGGGUAAAAAAUGUUCAACAUGCUCAAAGAACAAAAGUUAUUCAUCUACAAUACAACUUAGUAAAAUUAUCAUUCAAAAAUAAAGACAAAUCAAAUGUAUUUGACUAAGACUGAAGGGUAUUUUUUUAACCCCUGGAUCAUCAACUUUACCAAAGGAUAAAAUUUAUUAAAAAUAUGAUCAGCUUGUCGAAAGAAUGAAUCAAUGACACUCUGUCUUCGUGGAGAGCAGCCUGGGUGUGGAAUCAGGCACCCCCGGGUUCAAAGCCAUCACUGGCGAACUCACAAAGAGUGGGACUCACCGACCUGAGGGUUUGCCAGCACACUCGUAGCCCGCGGGACUAGAGUAUUUGUGAGAGAGGAGUGUGGUCUUUUGAUUGAAGAACAGAAGUCAUUCGUGAAGGACACAGCACACACAGCCCAGAGAGCUCGCAGGUUAAAACUGCACAUGGAGCAAUGUCUGCCAGCCAUUCAGGGUACUUCAAAAUAGCAAACACAGUAUUCACAAUCAAGUUAUUUAGACCUUUUAGAUUGUAUACAAAUGACAUAGAAAAAUGUACAGCCAGUCCACUGGGUUGUAAUUUUAGAAACAAACAUCUCAAGUCAUAAUAAUAAAGUAGAGUUUUAAAAAGUUACUAGGUUUUCUUUAUUUGCCAUAAGAAAGACUGAACUUCUUAGUAUGUAGUUUGAAGAGUAUUUUCUUUAACUCAUUGAAGCCUACAGAGAAAAUUCAAAUCCACAGAGAAUAAGAGGGUCAUUCUCCAGAUUCUCAUUAGACAAUUUGUGGAAAUGGUGUCUCUCUUCUCACAGUGAACCCUGACUCCUCCAUGACUGCUGGAGAAGAC
This 2374-nucleotide long non-coding RNA is filed under the name Homo sapiens (human). RNAcentral's name for it is "HSALNT0338239". Lineage: Eukaryota; Metazoa; Chordata; Mammalia; Primates; Hominidae. The record is from RNAcentral.